RNA transcript from Betta splendens (Siamese fighting fish), 3599 nucleotides. It is a transcript of the gene named mitochondrial carnitine/acylcarnitine carrier protein, with no coding region annotated. Lineage: Eukaryota; Metazoa; Chordata; Actinopteri; Anabantiformes; Osphronemidae. The transcript is spliced from 10 exons. The record is from RefSeq and is a predicted model, not a curated record.
UCCUCCCUGACGGUGACAGUGAAGGACAUGGUUUAUUUGGACUAAAUAUCUUCAACCUGCCUGACUAUUUAAUAAUUGACCAUUUGUGUGCGUUUUUUAUUUCUUCAGUUUGUAAGUACUGUGUAAAUACACUUUAAAGGUGACUUCGCAUUUUAGCUCUUUGAGGGAAUGUUUUUCAGUCCACACCAGCUGUAAAGUGGAUGAUGCAGGUCACUUUUGCUUUUGUAUUUUACUAUAUGUGUUUGAGGCAUGUUUCAAAUGUAUAAUUUAAAGGUGUCCAGCUGCUUUACACCCUCUGGCUGCACUGGUAAUGUUCCUCCCAGGCCUGGUGGGUGUCAGGAGAGACUGGUCUGGUUUUUCAAAACUAUACUUGUGAACAAACAGGCAGUUAACAGCAGCUUUGUGUCAGCUUGGCUGCAGGAUGUAAGGUCUGAACUGGCCUCAAUGGGGUUUCAAAGUUCCUCCCUAGCGCCGAGCGCCAUCUACUGGUCUGUUGAAGGAAGUGCUCUAACGAGAACAAUUUAUAACUUGAACUAUGAGAAAAUAUAUCAAAAAGUGGAGCGUCUUAUUUGAGCAGUUUGAGCAGUGCUGAAACAUCAGGGACAUUGGAAAACGGUCCCUGGGGAAGCAUCAGGCAAACCACUGAGGAGUGGAUUGUUUCCACUGGAAACACCAACGUCAGCCCUGAUCAAACACAAACAAUCGUCAAUGUAUUACACACGAAAUAGAUUUUAGUGUCGUUUAGUUUCACUGAAGAUACUGUCUUCAUCGCCAGGUAGAAAUGUCUGAGCCCCCAAAAUAACAAUGACACCAAAAACCACCAUUCCUUUUUUUUAUGUUUUAAUUGCUGUAGGUUUGAAUAUGGUCCUGAAGGUAAAAACUGGCUUCACGCGAAUCUAACAAGACACAUUAAAAGGCGUGCUGAGCCUCAAGGAUCAGACUUUUACAGCUGUUCCUCCUGCUUUUGUUCCGCGAGGUCUUAUAUUAUGAUCUGAGUUAAAGUGACGGUUUGAAGGCAUCUGUCAUUAUCUGGGCACUUCCUUAUCUUAACCGUGACAAGCUCUGCGCUCUGCUCAGACCGAGCGUCUUUACGCAGGAUCCUCCCAGUGCGAUGAGGCAAAGUCCAGACGACGGACGGACGGACGCUCCGUCCCACGCGGAGCCGGUCCGGGACGCGAUGCCGCCGCAGGGACGCGUCUCUCCGCUCAAGAACUUCAUCGCUGGAGGCAUCGGCGGCGCGUGUCUGCUUCUGGCCGGACACCCGCUGGACACCAUCAAGGUGAGGCUACAGACGCAGCCCAAAGCCUCCGCCUCCUGCCUCCUCUACACGGGAACCUAUGACUGCUUCCGCAAGACGGUGUCCAGAGAGGGCUUCCUCGGCCUCUAUAAAGGUCUGGGGGCUCCGCUGGCGGGAGUCGCUCCCAUGAUGGCCAUCAGCUUCUUCGGCUUCGGUCUUGGAAAGCAGCUUCAGCAGCCAGAUCCUGGCAAACCCCUAACGCACAUGCAGAUCUUCAUGUCCGGCUGUCUGGCAGGAGUGUUCACCACCGUCAUCGUGGCUCCAGGAGAACGGGUCAAAUGUUUACUUCAGGUGCAGGCUGCUGGUGGAGACAGGAAGUACUCAGGACCACUGGACUGUGUGGUCAGACUGUACAAGGAGCAGGGCCUCCGCAGCGUAUACAGAGGAACCGUUCUUACUCUCAUCAGAGAUGUGCCUUCUAACGGUCUCUACUUUCUCACAUAUGAAUAUCUCAAGAACGUCUUUACUCCUGAGGGUCAAAGUGUCUCUCAGCUCAGCACUCUGAACAUCCUUCUGGCUGGAGGUGUUGCAGGGUUAGUGAACUGGACCAUUGCACUCCCCCCAGAUGUCCUUAAAUCCAACUUCCAGACAGCUGCAGAGGGACAGUACAGGGGUCUGCUUGAUGUCCUGAGGACUCUGCUUCGAGACGAAGGCCCCUCAGCUCUGUAUAAAGGCUUUAAUGCCGUCUUCCUUCGAGCCUUUCCUGCCAACGCAGCCUGCUUUCUGGGGUUUGAGGUGGCGUUGAAGGGGCUGAACAUCCUCGCACCCAGCUGGUAAAUCAGCUGGUCCUGAAGAGUCUAAGUGUUUGGACCUCGUUUGCCAAAGCGUCUGUGCUGAGUCGUAUUCAUGGAGCUGACAUGAAGAGAAUCCUAUAUGGAACUGAAUCUAAUCUUAUUUAACAAAUCAUGCACAUGUUGGAAACUCUUCUACAGUGAAAGUAUAUGUAUGACUGGGAUAAUGAAUUGAUGUUUGGAUGUGAAUUCUUUUAGCAGCAUUGGUUGAAUAUGACUUGAGCUGGACUCAUAAAGGUACUGACAAGCUUCACAAAUGUAGUAACAAAGUAAGAAAAGAUGAAGAGGAAACUACAGACAUUGACCAUAUAUACUGUGUUUGAAAUAUUAAGCCUGUAUUUGACAGGAAAUACCUCCACAUCACAAGACCAACGUAUUUUACCUGGAAGGAGCAGACAUGUCCCAGAUGACUAACACCAGUCAAAUGAAACUAUUAGUGUCAGUAGCACUGGAAGCGUUUGUAUGUUGACGCCAAAGCAAAGAGCUCAAAGAAAGGUAAUGCUUUAAUCACUUGGAGAAGAGGAACUAUACUAUAAUUUCACCAGGUGUUAAACCUUGAGGAUUAUUCACAGGCCUAACAAACACGCAAGGCUCCAGGUUGUGAUGCCUCCAAAUAUCAUUUACAUCACAAUUAGACAUGUUUUUACAUUCUUAAACAACUCAAAGACACAAUUUUGAGCAGCUAUUGAGACGUUAUUCAGUACUGACAUUAUUGGUUAUUAUUGUUGGCUGCCAGCGUACAGAUGCUGCUUAGACAUGUUUUCUGCUCACAAUGAGGUGAAAUGAGACUCAUAUACUAUUAAACACAGGUGCUGAGAAUCUCUAAAUAUUUUUUUGAUGUUUAAAAGAAAACAAUAUAGAUAGAAUCCUGCUUGUAAACUGCCCACAGACCUUUUACACAGAGCUUUACCAUGUGUACAUAAACAUUUAAAAGGCAAUGAAAAGCAUAAGAUAUUGGAUUUGUUCGUUAGUUUUUACUGUUACCGUUUUAUAUUUUUGCUUUGAUGAUGAUGAUGACGAUGAUGAUGAUGUUCUUUUGUAAUGAAUGUAAGUUAAAAUGUUCAAUAAAAGUUAAAGAGGGUUUUUAAAGAAGCUCCCCUGCGUUUUUAAAAGCUAACCUUUGACCCCCGUACAGCAUCCAUUACCCAUGGUUCCAUUCUGUAAAUGCAUAGAUGAGUUAUUGACUUCAUUAAGGAUGUAACGAAAUUUGGCCAUCGUUAUAAAUAUUUAUGCUUUCUUAAACGAAAGAAAUCACUAGAAACGCACAUUGGACCAAUCUGGGUUAACUCUGGAUAGGUUUCAAAGGUUUAGCUGAAAAAAAAUACAAUCCCCAUGAUCCAGUGCGUGGCGUUCACUUCCGGGGACGGUGGCGGUCAGCUGAAGUUCGUGUGAGGCUGCCGCGAUGCCCCUGGAGGUCAAAUGGCCGUUCCCACGGUGCCCGGCUCUGUCGUGGAGGAUCUCCAGCUCACUGAUCAUGGGCAUGGUGGGGUCCUAUUCCUACUUCUGGACCA